Molecule: long non-coding RNA, 1570 nt
Filed under: Brassica napus (rape)
Lineage: Eukaryota; Viridiplantae; Streptophyta; Magnoliopsida; Brassicales; Brassicaceae
Description: long non-coding RNA (BNAP_LNC007001)
Source: RNAcentral
UGAAUAUUCCUGAGAAGAGCCGGGUGAUACCGUUCUGUAUCCGAAGGCAAAAGCUUGUACAUCACAAGCAACCCAAGCGUGAAAAUCGCUUGAAGCUUCGUGGAAUCUCCUUUGACAGAGAAGAAAAACAGCAUGGAGACGAUGUACAGGUCGAUGCAGAACCGCAUGAUGCACAAAACCGUGUCCAUCAGCUUCCCUUCGUUCCCUGCAGGGAAGCCGCGGACUCUGUACACGUAUAGGAAGUUGUAUUUGUCGACAAUGUAUCUGUAACCAAAGUAAACCGCGCCUACAGGGACCACGAGUGGAGCGAAUGAAGAGUAUAUCAUUGUCAAGGCAAAGAUGGUGAGGUUGAAGGCAUAGUAUUGUGCAAAGUCGAACUUUUGCUUUGGGAUUGGUGAGGUUCGGCUGAUUGGGUACUCAGCAAGGUCUUGGCUCAUAGGUUCAACGUCGCCGAAUCUUGGAGACUCGAACAUGUUUUCAGGGAGAAGCGGCGUCUCAAGGUUGCUUUGAUUUUCCAAAGGGUACUCUUCGUUUUGCUCGGGGACUAGCUGAAGCAUAUCGUUCUUCCUGAACUUCUGGAUUUUUUUCUUGAUCCAAGGGAUUGGAGCGAGUAGAUCAAAGGAGAUUCCCAAGAACGUGCUUGUGAUGAGGAACGCUAGAGCGGAAACGCAUGACCUUGAUAAGAAGGAAGGGCUCACGUAUUCUUCAAUCCUCUUGCAAUCCUCGCCGUCUAAGUAGCAGCGGCUCAUUUUCAAGAACGCGCUUUCAAGCGACGACUCGACGAGAGCCUUUAGCACGAUGAGGUUCACGAGGAAGAAGCAAACCAUCACAAGAUGUAAAGUGAAGAGAUACUAACUGCUACUAAACCGAAUGUGACACUCUGGAUUCUUAUAUUCGGUUGUUAAGUGCAUAACAUCUCCAUAAGAAAGACACCAUGUAGAGGCAAUUGCUAAUUUUUGUUUCUUCUGACCUCUUAAGAGUCUUAAUCACAUUUAAACAGAAAAAAAAAAUCCCGUUUAUAAAUUGCAAGAGAUAGUGACUGCAACAAACAUAAUUCUCUCAAAAGAUGGAUUAUACACAAAAAGGGAUAUACAAACUUACAAAGAGAAGAAUCCGUAACUUCGAGAAACAGAUUCCAAAACUCGAUAUGGUGGUCAAAGACCAAAACUAAUAAGUCAUAAGGUUACAGAAACAUCAUCUGUUGUAAGUGUCCCAAUCAAAGUUGGGUUGAGAAUAAGCUUCGUAAUCAACUGGCCCGUCGACGAUGCUAUCGACGGUCUGAAUAUUCCUGAGAAGAGCCGGGUGAUACCGUUCUGUAUCCGAAGGCAAAAGCUUGUACAUCACAAGCAACCCAAGCGUGAAAAUCGCUUGAAGCUUCGUGGAAUCUCCUUUGACAGAGAAGAAAAACAGCAUGGAGACGAUGUACAGGUCGAUGCAGAACCGCAUGAUGCACAAAACCGUGUCCAUCAGCUUCCCUUCGUUCCCUGCAGGGAAGCCGCGGACUCUGUACACGUAUAGGAAGUUGUAUUUGUCGACAAUGUAUCUGUAACCAAAGUAAACCGCGCCUACA